UUGCCUCAGUAACGGCGAGUGAAGCGGCAAGAGCUCAAAUUUGAAAUCUGGCUCCUCUUGGGGCCCGAGUUGUAAUUUGGGAGAGGAUGCUUACGGGACUGGGCCCCCAUCUAAGUGCCCUGGAACGGGCCGUCAUAGAGGGUGAGAAUCCCGUCUGGGAUGGGUGGCCUGGCCCGUGUGAAGCUCCUUCGACGAGUCGAGUUGUUUUGGGAAUGCAGCUCUAAAUGGGUGGUAAAUUUCAUCUAAAGCUAAAUAUUGGCCGGAGACCGAUAGCGCACAAGUAGAGUGAUCGAAAGAUGAAAAGCACUUUGAAAAGAGAGUUAAACAGCACGUGAAAUUGUUGAAAGGGAAGCGCUUGCAACCAGACUCGCCCGGGGGGGCUCAACCGGCACUUGUGCCGGUGCACUCCCCCCCGGGCGGGCCAGCGUCGGUUUGGGCGGCCGGUCAAAGGUCCCCGGAAUGUAUCACCUCUCGGGGUGUCUUAUAGCCGGGGAUGCCAUGCGGCCAGCCCGGACCGAGGAACGCGCUUCGGCUCGGACGCUGGCGUAAUGGUUGUAAGCGGCCCGUCUUGAAACACGGACCAAGGAGUCUAACAUCUAUGCGAGUGUUCGGGUGUCAAACCCGUCCGCGCAGUAAAAAGCAAACGGAGGUGGGAACCCCCUCGCGGGGGUGCACCAUCGACCGAUCCUGAUGUCUUCGGAUGGAUUUGAGUAAGAGCAUAGCCGUUGGGACCCGAAAGAAUGGUGAACUAUGCCUGAAUAGGGGCGAAGCCAGAGGAAACUCUGGUGGAGGCUCGCAGCGGUUCUGACGUGCAAAUCGAUCGUCGAAUUUGGGUAUAGAGCGAAAGAC
RNAcentral lists this ribosomal RNA (849 nucleotides) under Sagenomella verticillata. RNAcentral describes it as "LSU rRNA". It matches the Rfam family "Eukaryotic large subunit ribosomal RNA", at positions 75 to 931 of the family's 3401-position model. The record is from RNAcentral. Lineage: Eukaryota; Fungi; Ascomycota; Eurotiomycetes; Eurotiales; Trichocomaceae.